This 254-nucleotide ribosomal RNA is filed under the name uncultured bacterium. Its description in RNAcentral is "partial 16S ribosomal RNA". It matches the Rfam family "Bacterial small subunit ribosomal RNA", at positions 524 to 776 of the family's 1533-position model. The record is from RNAcentral.
UACGUAGGGUGCAAGCGUUGUCCGGAAUUAUUGGGCGUAAAGAGCUCGUAGGCGGCUUGUCGCGUCGGCUGUGAAAACCUGGGGCUUAACCCUGGGCCUGCAGUGGAUACGGGCAGACUAGAGUGCGGUAGGGGAGAGUUGGAAUUCCUGGUGUAGCGGUGGAAUGCGCAGAUAUCAGGAGGAACACCAAUGGCGAAGGCAGAUCUCUGGGCCGUAACUGACGCUGAGGAGCGAAAGCAUGGGGAGCGAACAGG